Molecule: ribosomal RNA, 75 nt
Filed under: Anopheles minimus A
Lineage: Eukaryota; Metazoa; Arthropoda; Insecta; Diptera; Culicidae
Description: partial 5.8S ribosomal RNA
Source: RNAcentral
ACACCGACACGUUGAAACGCAUAUGGCGCAUCGGACGUUUAAACCCGACCGAUGUACACAUUCUUGAGUGCCUAC